UACGUAGGGGGCAAGCGUUAUCCGGAUUUACUGGGUGUAAAGGGAGCGUAGACGGCGAGACAAGUCUGGAGUGAAAGGCCGGGGCCCAACCCCGGGACUGCUCUGGAAACUGCCUGGCUGGAGUACAGGAGAGGUAAGUGGAAUUCCUAGUGUAGCGGUGAAAUGCGUAGAUAUUAGGAGGAACACCAGUGGCGAAGGCGGCUUACUGGACUGUAACUGACGUUGAGGCUCGAAAGCGUGGGGAGCAAACAGG
Molecule: ribosomal RNA, 253 nt
Filed under: uncultured bacterium
Lineage: Bacteria
Description: partial 16S ribosomal RNA
Rfam family: Bacterial small subunit ribosomal RNA
Source: RNAcentral